Molecule: small nuclear RNA, 111 nt
Organism: Elgaria multicarinata webbii
Lineage: Eukaryota; Metazoa; Chordata; Lepidosauria; Squamata; Anguidae
Source: RefSeq, a predicted model, not a curated record
GUGUUUGCUCACUUCAGCAGCACGUAUACCAAAAUUGGAACAAUACAGAGAAGAUCAGCAUGGCCCCUGUGCAAAGAUGACACGCAAAUUUGUGAAGGGGUCGAUAUUUUA